RNAcentral lists this ribosomal RNA (253 nucleotides) under uncultured bacterium. RNAcentral describes it as "partial 16S ribosomal RNA". It matches the Rfam family "Bacterial small subunit ribosomal RNA", at positions 524 to 776 of the family's 1533-position model. The record is from RNAcentral.
UACGUAGGGUGCAAGCGUUAAUCGGAAUUACUGGGCGUAAAGCGUGCGCAGGCGGUUAUGCAAGGCAGGUGUGAAAUCCCCGGGCUCAACCUGGGAACUGCAUUUGUGACUGCAUGGCUAGAGUACGGUAGAGGGGGAUGGAAUUCCGCGUGUAGCAGUGAAAUGCGUAGAUAUGCGGAGGAACACCGAUGGCGAAGGCAAUCCCCUGGACCUGUACUGACGCUCAUGCACGAAAGCGUGGGGAGCAAACAGG